UAAUAGUGUAUAUUAAAGUUGUUGCAGUUAAAAAGCUCGUAGUUGAAUGUUGGUGUCGAACGAGCGGUCAGCUUCGGCUGUACUGCUCUCUCGACUCCUUCCUUCUGUGGACUACGUCGCACUUUACUGUGUGGCGCUAGGACGCAGAUCGUUUACUGUGAAAAAAUUAGAGUGUUCAAAGCAGGCCGUACGCUUGAAUACAUUAGCAUGGAAUAAUGGAAUAGGACGUCGGGCCUAUUUUGUUGGUUCUAGGACCGUCGUAAUGAUUAAUAGGGACAGUUGGGGCCGUUUAUAUUCCGUAGUCAGAGGUGAAAUUCUUGGAUUUACGGAAGAUAAACUACUGCGAAAGCAUUCGGCAAGGAUGUUUNCGUUAA
RNAcentral lists this ribosomal RNA (374 nucleotides) under uncultured eukaryote. Its description in RNAcentral is "partial 18S ribosomal RNA". It matches the Rfam family "Eukaryotic small subunit ribosomal RNA", at positions 592 to 976 of the family's 1831-position model. The record is from RNAcentral.